Neofelis nebulosa (Clouded leopard) is the source of this 70-nucleotide non-coding RNA. Lineage: Eukaryota; Metazoa; Chordata; Mammalia; Carnivora; Felidae. The record is from the annotation of a RefSeq genome assembly.
GCCUGGGUGGCUCAGUCGGUUAAGCGUCUGACUUCGGCUCAGGUCACGGGUUCGAGCCCCGUGUUGGGCU